Molecule: ribosomal RNA, 492 nt
Filed under: uncultured bacterium
Lineage: Bacteria
Description: partial 16S ribosomal RNA
Rfam family: Bacterial small subunit ribosomal RNA
Source: RNAcentral
AGUGAACGCUGGCGGUAGGCCUAACACAUGCAAGUCGAACGGCAGCACAGUAAGAGCUUGCUCUUACGGGUGGCGAGUGGCGGACGGGUGAGGAAUACAUCGGAAUCUACUUUUUCGUGGGGGAUAACGUAGGGAAACUUACGCUAAUACCGCAUACGACCUACGGGUGAAAGCAGGGGAUCUUCGGACCUUGCGCGAUUGAAUGAGCCGAUGUCGGAUUAGCUAGUUGGCGGGGUAAAGGCCCACCAAGGCGACGAUCCGUAGCCGGUCUGAGAGGAUGAUCAGCCACACUGGAACUGAGACACGGUCCAGACUCCUACGGGAGGCAGCAGUGGGGAAUAUUGGACAAUGGGCGCAAGCCUGAUCCAGCCAUACUGCGUGGGUGAAGAAGGCCUUCGGGUUGUAAAGCCCUUUUGUUGGGAAAGAAAAGCAGCAGGUUAAUACCCCGCUGUUCUGACGGUACCCAAAGAAUAAGCACCGGCUAACUUCGUG